CUAGAGGUGUUCUGUCUCCUGAACGUCAUGUUCGUACUAGAUUAUAUUUUACCAGUGAAAGUCAUGUACAUUCUUUGCUGUCUAUUCUUCGCUAUGGUGCCUUAUGCAAUGAAUCAAAGGAUGAACAGUGGAAACGAGCUAUGGAUUAUUUAAAUGUUGUCAAUGAGCUCAACUACAUGACUCAGAUUGUUAUCAUGCUUUAUGAGGAUCCUAAUAAGGAUCUUUCCUCAGAAGAACGCUUUCAUGUUGAAUUACACUUUAGUCCAGGAGCCAAAGGUUGUGAAGAAGACAAAAAUUUACCAUCUGGCUAUGGAUAUAGACCAGCUUCCAGAGAGAAUGAAGGCAGGAGACCUUCUAAAAUUGAUAAUGAUGAUGAACCACAUACUUCUAAGAGAGAUGAAGUUGAUCGAGCUGUGAUAUUGUUUAAACCAAUGGUAUCAGAGCCAAUUCAUAUACACAGGAAGUCUCCACUUCCAAGGUCUAGGAAGAUGGCUACAAAUGAUGUUGUAUCUGAAAAUGCUAAUUACCUGCGAACACCAAGAACUCUUGUGGAACAGAAGCAGAAUCCUACUGUAGGGUCUCACUGUGCGGGCCUGUUUAGCACCUCGGUGCUCGGGGGUUCUUCAAGCGCACCUAACCUACAGGAUUAUGCUCGUACUCAUCGUAAAAAGCUGACCUCUUCUGGCUGCAUAGAUGACGCCACACGCGGUUCUGCUGUUAAAAGGUUUUCUAUCUCAUUUGCUCGACACCCAACCAAUGCUGCAGCUUCUAAAGAAACCACAUGCGUAAGAACCUCUUAGAAGAAACACAGAAGUCACAAGAAAAACAGAAGCCACAAAAAUUCUAAGAAGAGACAUUGAAGGUUUAAGACCAUAGUUUUUGUACUGGAUGCUGUGUGUUUAAAACCAGUAUUUGAGGUAUUAUCAUCUAGGAGAAUCUGUGUUUAACUGAAGGUUUUUAAAAAUGAAAAAUAUUUAUGUUAAAUUUAAUAGAAAAUAGAGUAAUUUUAUAUUCCUUUGGUUUAGGCUCUUUUUUAAAAAUGUGGAUUUCCCGCACAUACAAA
Molecule: small RNA, 1063 nt
Filed under: Pongo abelii (Sumatran orangutan)
Lineage: Eukaryota; Metazoa; Chordata; Mammalia; Primates; Hominidae
Description: processed transcript
Source: RNAcentral